AAGUAAACUUUAUAUAUCAUCCAGAUGAUACAAAUGUAAAAUACAAUAUAAUAUGGUCACCGAUAACAAGAGAAAAUAACACCAGAGAUCGAGUUCGAAAGCUGACGUUGAACAAAACAGCUAUGUUUACCGAAUGUCUGUCACCUAUAACCACUUAUUCAUCGGCCGCUACUACACCUUGUAUUUCUGAUUUUUAUCGUAUUUAUUUCUGGUCAUCCGUCGUUACGAUUCCUGUUUUGAUAGUGGUUUCUACAGCUAUCUGUGUAUACUUGUUCAAAAAUCAUGGAUUAAAAAGAACUAAUAAAGAACCUAGCUCAAGG
Saccostrea echinata is the source of this 320-nucleotide long non-coding RNA. RefSeq lists it as uncharacterized. NCBI's taxonomy places the organism in Eukaryota, Metazoa, Mollusca, Bivalvia, Ostreida, Ostreidae. The transcript has 4 exons. The record is from RefSeq and is a predicted model, not a curated record.